CAACAUUAUUCUUCAUAUAGCAACCAACACAAUACAAUACACAACACAUGUAUAAACAAUGAAACAUACUAAUACAUUCAAGUGAUCUUACAACUUUGCACUCCAAAAUCUACAUCUGGUAGUUCCCCAUCAGAAACAAGCACAACUCAAUCUUGAUGAAUACCUCAAGGAAGGUCCAGAACAGCCUACGAUUCGAACUGCUUACCUUGAAAAGUCUGUCCAAAAUUCCAGAUCUUCGGAGCAACAUUGUAAGAUGUUAAGGUGACUCCAUCACUGCUUGUUAUCUCGAAAGAAAGUGGUUGAUUCUUCAAAUCCGCACUUAUAUGCCAGUUUUGGCCCCAAAUCCUACCCAUGGGAAGCCAUCCUGUUCUUGAACCCUUAACUUUUGCUGCCACUAUAUCACCCGCGCCUGCAACGUUACUGAUUAAAACAGACAAGAAUAUUCCAGCACCAUUGAUCGUGAAUCGAACUCCUCCUUCCUUUCUGCACUUAAUUCUUCGAUACUGAACAGGCAUAUUCGAAGCUUUCCAAAUAGCAAUUUUCUCAAAAGCUUCAAUCGGCAGAACAAAAUGUGCAUUUGGAGGGUUACAAUGUCCACCGCCAUCAGGUUCAAAUCCAUAAUUCGGAGCACAAAAAUUCGUUGCAGUAACAAUAAUCGAAGUACCCGGAAUACACCAUCGGAGUUCCUCAACACAUCGAACUUCAAAGCAAGCUCCGCAAAUCUGACCCUUUUCGAAUAGCACAGUGCUUAAUCCAGCUGUUGAUUUACCAUAACCACUUCUCUCUAAAUCACCGUACCCACACGCGCCACCUACUACAUCCCGUGGAUCUGCUGGAGCAUAGUAGGUUGCCCGUCCCGGGCGCCACUCCGAUGGGUGAGCGGCGGCGGCGGCGACGGUGGAGGAGGAAGACGGUGACCAAUUGUAGUGGGAGUGAGCUAGUGAGAAUGUGCUACACAGUGUGAGUGUUAGUAAUAAUUGUAGCAACAUUUUCGAUAGUACUGAGAAUUUUG
Molecule: unclassified non-coding RNA, 1012 nt
Filed under: Hevea brasiliensis (rubber tree)
Lineage: Eukaryota; Viridiplantae; Streptophyta; Magnoliopsida; Malpighiales; Euphorbiaceae
Source: RNAcentral